GAAGAUUUCUUGGAUCCAUCCGCCGCUGAUUUUCUCGGUCACCUGGAGCCGUCUACGUCAUCGCAGGAUUUCAUCUACUAUGAUGACGUGGCAUUAGACACUACUACGUCAUCGUCGUUCGUCACGUCACAACCUAGAGAAUUGUACUGUUUUACGUGUGGAGAUGCAUUUAACAAUCGGAAAGGGCUUUACAGGUAUAUUAUAUUUUAAUUUAAAAAAAAAACAGAAAUUUUCUUUAAAAAAAUAUUUUCUCAGACACGGAAAAACCGCCGAACACGCGACACGACCUCCUCGCCGAAAAAUUGAGCGAAAAAUUCAAAUUCCCGCCGAACCGCCAGAAAAACCACCGGAAAUUCCGAAAAAAUCGAUAAAAAUCUGCGGGGAAAAAUCGAUUUGUGCGGAAUGUUCGGGGAGUUUUCCUAAUCGAAAAGCACUUUACAGG
Molecule: small RNA, 442 nt
Filed under: Caenorhabditis elegans
Lineage: Eukaryota; Metazoa; Nematoda; Chromadorea; Rhabditida; Rhabditidae
Description: Unclassified non-coding RNA Y39B6A.90
Source: RNAcentral